AGGGAAACCGAGUCUUAACUGGGCGUUAAGUUGCAGGGUAUAGACCCGAAACCCGGUGAUCUAGCCAUGGGCAGGUUGAAGGUUGGGUAACACUAACUGGAGGACCGAACCGACUAAUGUUGAAAAAUUAGCGGAUGACUUGUGGCUGGGGGUGAAAGGCCAAUCAAACCGGGAGAUAGCUGGUUCUCCCCGAAAGCUAUUUAGGUAGCGCCUCGUGAACUCAUCUUCGGGGGUAGAGCACUGUUUCGGCUAGGGGGUCAUCCCGACUUACCAACCCGAUGCAAACUACGAAUACCGAAGAAUGUUAUCACGGGAGACACACGGCGGGUGCUAACGUCCGUCGUGAAGAGGGAAACAACCCAGACCGCCAGCUAAGGUCCCAAAGUCAUGGUUAAGUGGGAAACGAUGUGGGAAGGCACAGACAGCCAGGAUGUUGGCUUAGAAGCAGCCAUCAUUUAAAGAAAGCGUAAUAGCUCACUGGUCGAGUCGGCCUGCGCGGAAGAUGUAACGGGGCUAAACCAUGCACCGAAGCUGCGGCAGCGACACUAUGUGUUGUUGGGUAGGGGAGCGUUCUGUAAGCCUGCGAAGGUGUGCUGUGAGGCAUGCUGGAGGUAUCAGAAGUGCGAAUGCUGACAUAAGUAACGAUAAAGCGGGUGAAAAGCCCGCUCGCCGGAAGACCAAGGGUUCCUGUCCAACGUUAAUCGGGGCAGGGUGAGUCGACCCCUAAGGCGAGGCCGAAAGGCGUAGUCGAUGGGAAACAGGUUAAUAUUCCUGUACUUGGUGUUACUGCGAAGGGGGGACGGAGAAGGCUAUGUUAGCCGGGCGACGGUUGUCCCGGUUUAAGCAUGUAGGCUGAUUGUCCAGGCAAAUCCGGAUAAUCAAGGCUGAGGUGUGAUGACGAGGCACUACGGUGCUGAAGUAACAAAUGCCCUGCUUCCAGGAAAAGCCUCUAAGCAUCAGGUAACAUCAAAUCGUACCCCAAACCGACACAGGUGGUCAGGUAGAGAAUACCAAGGCGCUUGAGAGAACUCGGGUGAAGGAACUAGGCAAAAUGGUGCCGUAACUUCGGGAGAAGGCACGCUGGUGUGUAGGUGAAGUCCCUGCGGAUGGAGCUGAGACCAGUCGAAGAUACCAGCUGGCUGCAACUGUUUAUUAAAAACACAGCACUGUGCAAACACGAAAGUGGACGUAUACGGUGUGACGCCUGCCCGGUGCCGGAAGGUUAAUUGAUGGGGUUAUCCGUAAGGAGAAGCUCUUGAUCGAAGCCCCGGUAAACGGCGGCCGUAACUAUAACGGUCCUAAGGUAGCGAAAUUCCUUGUCGGGUAAGUUCCGACCUGCACGAAUGGCGUAAUGAUGGCCAGGCUGUCUCCACCCGAGACUCAGUGAAAUUGAACUCGCUGUGAAGAUGCAGUGUACCCGCGGCAAGACGGAAAGACCCCGUGAACCUUUACUAUAGCUUGACACUGAACAUUGAGCCUUGAUGUGUAGGAUAGGUGGGAGGCUUUGAAGCGUGGACGCCAGUCUGCGUGGAGCCAACCUUGAAAUACCACCCUUUAAUGUUUGAUGUUCUAACGUUGGCCCCUGACCGGGGUUGCGGACAGUGUCUGGUGGGUAGUUUGACUGGGGCGGUCUCCUCCCAAAGCGUAACGGAGGAGCACGAAGGUUAGCUAAUCCUGGUCGGACAUCAGGAGGUUAGUGCAAUGGCAUAAGCUAGCUUGACUGCGAGCGUGACGGCGCGAGCAGGUGCGAAAGCAGGUCAUAGUGAUCCGGUGGUUCUGAAUGGAAGGGCCAUCGCUCAACGGAUAAAAGGUACUCCGGGGAUAACAGGCUGAUACCGCCCAAGAGUUCAUAUCGACGGCGGUGUUUGGCACCUCGAUGUCGGCUCAUCACAUCCUGGGGCUGAAGUAGGUCCCAAGGGUAUGGCUGUUCGCCAUUUAAAGUGGUACGCGAGCUGGGUUUAGAACGUCGUGAGACAGUUCGGUCCCUAUCUGCCGUGGGCGCUGGAGAAUUGAGGGGGGCUGCUCCUAGUACGAGAGGACCGGAGUGGACGCAUCACUGGUGUUCGGGUUGUCAUGCCAAUGGCACUGCCCGGUAGCUAAAUGCGGAAGAGAUAAGUGCUGAAAGCAUCUAAGCACGAAACUUGCCCCGAGAUGAGUUCUCCCUGAGACUUUAAGUCUCCUGAAGGAACGUUGAAGACGACGACGUUGAUAGGCCGGGUGUGUAAGCGCAGCGAUGCGUUGAGCUAACCGGUACUAAUGAACCGUGAGGCUUAACCUU
Molecule: ribosomal RNA, 2278 nt
Filed under: Klebsiella pneumoniae
Lineage: Bacteria; Pseudomonadati; Pseudomonadota; Gammaproteobacteria; Enterobacterales; Enterobacteriaceae
Description: bacterial LSU rRNA
Rfam family: Bacterial large subunit ribosomal RNA
Source: RNAcentral